AACGAACGCUGGCGGCAGGCUUAACACAUGCAAGUCGAACACAUCCUUCGGGGUGAGUGGCAGACGGGUGAGUAACGCGUGGGAACGUGCCCUUCAGUUCGGGAUAACCCAGGGAAACUUGGGCUAAUACCGGAUACGUGCGAGAGCAGAAAGAUUUAUCGCUGAAGGAUCGGCCCGCGUCUGAUUAGCUAGUUGGUGGGGUAAUGGCCCACCAAGGCGACGAUCAGUAGCUGGUCUGAGAGGAUGAUCAGCCACAUUGGGACUGAGACACGGCCCGAACUCCUACGGGAGGCAGCAGUGGGGAAUAUUGGACAAUGGGCGCAAGCCUGAUCCAGCCAUGCCGCGUGAGUGAUGAAGGCCUUAGGGUUGUAAAGCUCUUUCGUCCGGGACGAUAAUGACGGUACCGGAAGAAGAAGCCCCGGCUAACUUCGUGCCAGCCGCCGCGGUAA
RNAcentral lists this ribosomal RNA (449 nucleotides) under uncultured bacterium. RNAcentral's name for it is "partial 16S ribosomal RNA". It matches the Rfam family "Bacterial small subunit ribosomal RNA", at positions 29 to 523 of the family's 1533-position model. The record is from RNAcentral.